AAAAAUCCAUUUGGACCGAGAAGUGAGCUUUGCGAGUCGAAUAUCUCGCACGUAGUGUUGCCGCUUUUCCGCGUGCGUGAUUGGCUGGCGCGGUCGAGAUUGACGGCGAUCGCGAGAUCGCGGCGAGUUUGGCGAGUUUCGCGUGUGUUAAAUCGUGCGACGUGACGUGUGUUCGCGUGGUGUCUCGCGAGAUAAUAUUCCGAUGAAUUUAAUGUUCGAGAAGAUCUGAUGGGAUUAGCUAUUGGUGCUCAUGAUGCAAAUAUUCAACAAGCGUGAAAAGUUGAUGACAUUACAAAUAUAGUUAGAAGAAAAUUCAUGCACAUUUAAGAUAUAUAGAGAGACGCAUGAAGCUGUUAAGAAAGACCGAUCUAUGCAGGAAUAAAGCAGUAACCUAAAAAUAGAUAGUGACAGUGUGACAGUCGUGACCAUCGCCGCGUGAUAGAUGAUAGUGAUAGUGAAAUAUAUAUUGACGGCAGGGAGCUGAUGCCGAGGAGAUCUUUAAGAAGGAAGGACCAUUUUAUAUUCAACUAUAUGGUAUACAAUUUUGCCGCUAUAUAUUGACCGCAGGGAGCUGAUACCGAAGAGAUCUUUAAGAAGGAAGGUGUAUCCAAAAUUGCACA
This is a long non-coding RNA of Temnothorax curvispinosus, 620 nucleotides long. RefSeq lists it as uncharacterized. Lineage: Eukaryota; Metazoa; Arthropoda; Insecta; Hymenoptera; Formicidae. The transcript has 4 exons. The record is from RefSeq and is a predicted model, not a curated record.